AUUGAACGCUGGCGGCAGGCUUAACACAUGCAAGACGAGCGGGGUGAUGGUGCUUGCACUAUCACUUAGCGGCGGACGGGUGAGUAAUGCUUAGGAAUCUGCCUACUAGUGGGGGACAACAUCUCGAGAGGGAUGCUAAUAACGCAUACGUCCGAUGGGAGAAAGCAGGGGAUCACUUGUGGCCAUGCGCCAAUAGACGGACCUAAGUCGGAUUAGCUAGUGGGUGGGGUAAAGGCCUACCAAGGCGACGAUCUGUAGCGGGCCUGAGAGGAUGAUCCGCCACACUGGGACUGAGACACGGCCCAGACUCCUACGGGAGGCAGCAGUGGGGAAUAUUGGACAAUGGGGGGAACCCUGAUCCAGCCAUGCCGCGUGUGUGAAGAAGGCCUUAUGGUUGUAAAGCACUUUAAGCGAGGAGGAGGCUCUUUUGGUUAAUACCCAAGAUGAGUGGACGUUACUCGCAGAAUAAGCACCGGCUAACUCUGUGCCAGCCGCCGCCGUAA
Molecule: ribosomal RNA, 503 nt
Filed under: uncultured bacterium
Lineage: Bacteria
Description: partial 16S ribosomal RNA
Rfam family: Bacterial small subunit ribosomal RNA
Source: RNAcentral